GGGUGUAGCAAUACAUCACCGGCGGACGGGUGCGUAACACGUGGGAAUGUACCUAGUGGUUCGGAACAACUCAGGGAAACCUGUGCUAAUACCGGAUAAGUCCUUACGGAGAAAGUUUUAAUGCCAAAAGAUGAGCCCGCAUUUGAUUAGCUAGUUGGUGAGGUAAAAGCUCACCAAGGCGAUAAUCAAUAGCUGAUUUGAGAGGAUGAUCAGCCACAUUGGGACUGAGAUACGGCCCAGACUCC
Molecule: ribosomal RNA, 245 nt
Filed under: uncultured bacterium
Lineage: Bacteria
Description: partial 16S ribosomal RNA
Rfam family: Bacterial small subunit ribosomal RNA
Source: RNAcentral